RNAcentral lists this ribosomal RNA (255 nucleotides) under uncultured bacterium. RNAcentral's name for it is "partial 16S ribosomal RNA". It matches the Rfam family "Bacterial small subunit ribosomal RNA", at positions 524 to 776 of the family's 1533-position model. The record is from RNAcentral.
UACGUAGGGUGCGAGCGUUGUCCGGAAUUACUGGGCGUAAAGGGCGCGUAGGCGGCCACCGCAAGUCAGUUGUGAAAUCUCUGGGCUUAACCCAGAACGGUCAGCUGAUACUGCGGGGCUAGAGUGCAGAAGGGGCAACUGGAAUUCUCGGUGUAGCGGUGAAAUGCGUAGAUAUCGAGAGGAACACCUGCGGCGAAGGCGGGUUGCUGGGCUGACACUGACGCUGACAGCGCGAAAGCUAGGGGAGCGAACGGG